This 74-nucleotide transfer RNA is filed under the name Aigarchaeota archaeon. RNAcentral's name for it is "tRNA-Ala". It matches the Rfam family "tRNA". Rfam says of the family: Transfer RNA (tRNA) molecules are approximately 80 nucleotides in length. Their secondary structure includes four short double-helical elements and three loops (D, anti-codon, and T loops). The record is from RNAcentral. Lineage: Archaea; Thermoproteati; Nitrososphaerota.
GGGCCGGUAGCUCAGCCUGGAAGGGCGCUGCGUUGGCAUCGCAGAGGUCGCGGGUUCGAGUCCCGCCCGGUCCA